ACCCAGGGCUUCUUAUAACGACGUUUUAUUGGGAUGAUAAUUAGAUUAUUUCACUGCCUCCUGCAUUCUGCUGCUCCAGGCUCUUCCCUCACAAACUCCCGUUGCCCAUCCCAGGAAACACGCGCAUCCAGAACUCAAGAAAACACCAGCUGCCUAUGCCUUCCUCUCAGUCCUGGGCCCCUUGCUCAGUGCCUUGUUGUUGACUGCUCAGCUCAGGGGUUGACUCCAGGGUAGGAAGAUGUAGCCAUGGGGCUUAAAAAAAAAAAAAAAUCCACCUUUGGUUCAGCGACAUCACGGUUACAAGUCUCCAAGGGAACUCAGCCUGGCCCACCUUCUUCUCAAACAUCACCUACCACUGCCUCCAUGAAGCCCCAGGGGUGCUUGUAGAAGGCUCCCAAGUCCCCACCGGAACCAAACCGCACCUUCCCACUGUCCUCCACUCCCCAGCCUUCACUGGCUCUGGGGAACUUUUUCCAAAGGGAAAGAUGUGGGCAGUGCCAAUUGGACCUUUGGGCAGCCGGAAGACAGGCCAGUCCUGGGAGAAGAAAGAAAAUGGCUGAGUCCCAGCCUCCCACAAAGACGUCUGUGUGAAUGCGCCUCGCUGACCAGAUGAGGGGGCUGACUAAACCUCACCCGCCCCAGAAAGCUGGCCAAAUAUAAGGUAGUCGAGUUCACUGCUCAUCCAUGGGAAAGCUGUGAAGAAAUGGAACCUGCCCAGGGAAAGACAGUGAAGACUCUUGGGGAGGUUCAUUUCUGCUGUAGGCCCAGAGUUUGGGGAUGUACAUCAAGGCUUCUCCCGCCUCACACGCCUCCAAAGCGUUCCUCGGCUGCCGGGGAAGAAGAGCGUCACACUCCUGGCGAAGGCUGAUAAUUAAAGUCAACAUCUCAACACACUGAGUCAAUUUCUUGAACACCUUUUUUUUUUAUUGCUAGGUAACCCUGUAUGUCACUUCACUAUACCCAAAUAAUUAGUGGGUUCCCCCCCUUUUUUUUCCAAAUUUAAUGUCUUCUCAUGAAAUUUACGUUUAAUAAAGGUUGCUUUCCUGCCUUUCUCAGGAA
Molecule: long non-coding RNA, 1059 nt
Organism: Rattus norvegicus (Norway rat)
Lineage: Eukaryota; Metazoa; Chordata; Mammalia; Rodentia; Muridae
Source: RefSeq, a predicted model, not a curated record